RNAcentral lists this ribosomal RNA (301 nucleotides) under uncultured bacterium. Its description in RNAcentral is "partial 16S ribosomal RNA". It matches the Rfam family "Bacterial small subunit ribosomal RNA", at positions 509 to 807 of the family's 1533-position model. The record is from RNAcentral.
CAGUAGCCGCGGUAAUACGAAGGGUGCAAGCGUUACUCGGAAUUACUGGGCGUAAAGCGUGCGUAGGUGGUUGUUUAAGUCUGCUGUGAAAGCCCUGGGCUCAACCUGGGAAUUGCAGUGGAUACUGGGCAACUAGAGUAAGGUAGAGGAUAGUGGAAUUUCCGGUGUAGCAGUGAAAUGCGUAGAGAUCGGAAGGAACAUCUGUGGCGAAGGCGACUAUCUGGGCCAUUACUGACACUGAGGCACGAAAGCGUGGGGAGCAAACAGGAUUAGAUACCCCGGUAGUCCCUGUCUCUUAUAC